Long non-coding RNA from Magnolia sinica, 4175 nucleotides. RefSeq lists it as uncharacterized. The transcript has 2 exons. The record is from RefSeq and is a predicted model, not a curated record. NCBI's taxonomy places the organism in Eukaryota, Viridiplantae, Streptophyta, Magnoliopsida, Magnoliales, Magnoliaceae.
CUAUAAAAAAAGGGCAUUUUGAUCAUGUUGAUUGGGAUUUCUUGGACUACAUGUUGGGCAGGUUGAGAUGUGGUUGAAGUGGAGAGGCUGGAUGCGAGAGCGUUUACUGUUGGCUACCGUGAACCAUUUUCCAAUCUUGACGAGUAGCUCCCAUUGUCUCAUCUUCUUCAAUGGAGUUAUGAUUUCACUCCAAAAUUUGACCUCAUUUCCUGGCAAAGACCUUAUACAUCCUGACCAGCCUCUGACCCUCAUUUUCUUCUAUUUAGGCUAAAAUCAUCAUGAGAGACUACCUCUAACAGGAGAAGGCAAAGAAGCUCUAGAAUAGGAGCCUUGCGAGGAGCUACAAGGGCUAACAUCAUUCAUCUUUCAACACAAGACUGCUCUGCCCAUUUCGUGAACAAUUUAGAGGUCUUCAAAUCAACACCGCUCACCCCCCCUUUAUUGGUUGUUUCUUUGUGGGCCGACAUGAGUUUGGUUAUGGUUACGAAUUAUUUUAUUUAGCUGUUGCUAAAAGUCAUAGAAAUGAAUUAUAAUGGGUGAGAUUAAAUGGUAUGUUUGUCUAGGAUAUAAAACAAGUUUUGGGGUUUCCUUGAGUCAUUUUAGGGGCUAAGAUUAGUCCUAAUCAAUGGCAGGUAUAAGGAUUUAAGUUUAGGGUUAGUAUGUCACAUGUAUAAGGGCUGUUGCACACGAUUAAGAGAAGCCUCUUUUCUUUCUUUCUCCGUCCCUUUCUCUCUUUAAUAUGGACUAUUGCUUGAAAUUAGUGGACUCUUUGCUUUGUUACAAAUUGGUACAUCAUUAAGUGUGGCUUGUACCAAUCUCGUCUCUUUUCAUGAUUUCUCUCCUAUGUUAAGUGGUAUUAGAGUGGUCCCUUUUGGGAUCCUAGGGCCAGGCCUUUAGUUGAUUUGAAGAGCCCCAACUUCUUGGUCAUCCACAAGGUAGCAAUGGUGGUUGCGGGAUGGGACGUGGUGGAGAAUUCCGAGUCAAAGUAAUUUACUGAAUUUAAUGGCCAAGAUGGCAUCGAGGAAUUCCUUGAUUUGUUGGAGUGGAGAGAUUCUUUGAUUAUAUGAAAUUCUGGAUGAUUGGAAGGUGAAAUUGGUUGUGAUAAAGUUCUAGGGAUUCACAUUGGCAUGGUGGGAACAACUUUAGAUGCAAUGGGUGCGAUAAGGAAAACAAAAGAUCAUAAUCGAGUAUAUGAUGAAGAAACUCCAACAAGAAUUUCUUCCAAAGAAUAUUGAUUAAAUCCAGUAGGUGAAUCGUCAAAGAGUAAGUAAUUUUAUUUUAUUUUAUUAUUUUUUUAAAAAUUGGUUAUCUCCUUGCAAUAUUGUAGAGAUCGAGUCUUCAGAUGGUCACUAGAUUAGUGGAUGGGUUGAGGAUACUGAUCCAAAACCAUAUGUUCUACACAAAUGUGGGUGGGUGUGGAUGUGGUGAGGUUGGUGAAAAAUAUCAAAACUUAGUUUAACUGCGAGGAUGGUGAAUUUGGGCAACGGAACCUCAAGGUUUGUUAAUUGAGGUGAGUGUAUAAGUCGGGGCCCCAUGUUCCAAAAUAAGGGUCGAAAGACCACCCAAACAGGUCAGGUAAUCGUUGGUUCGAGUAGUGGUGAGUAGUUGAAUUGGUCAUGAUCGUCAAAUCUACGUGAUUAGGGUUGUUAAUGGGCCAGGCCAGGGAUUGGUUUUGGCCUAGAUUUUGAAUUGUUCAGGCUGGGCUUAUCAGAUCUAGCCUAUUCAAAAUUUUCAUUUUGCUUGGCAUUAACAAUGCUACACUUAAUGGAAGCAUGCAAAAUAUGAGUAACCUGAGCCAUAGAUCUGUGGAAUGGGAAUGGAGAAAAUUCACCAACAUGACAACCCACAAAGACAAUCCCUACUUCGAUGUUCUAGAAGUCGACAUCAUUGAUGAAGAUCUAGGAGAGAAACAAUGCAAGGAGGGAACAAGAAACUCUCCAUCUAUGAUGAUGAGGAUGAACUCUUAGUGGUUUGACGUCUCAUGUAUACACCACAUGUCAUGGAGAGAAAUGGUCAACGACACAAUUUUCUGAAACUUUACACUAUGGGCGGAAAAAAUAUGUGAUAUGAUCAUUAAUGAUUGAAGUUGUAAGGAUAUUAAUGCAGUGGCAUUUUCACACCGAGCUCGAGUGGGGUAGCCUAUGGGAUGCGGGGACACUCGAGGUGGGCAGUCCGUGUGAGGUGGGCCCAUGUGAAGUGGGGUCCACAAGGAGGAUUCGGCCGACGUCCUAACCCAUGGGAUGUUGGGCAUGGGUUAUGAGAUAAAGGGAUUGAUUUGCCACUCUCUAUCAGUUCGAGCUUUUAGAACAAGUGGUUAAUUGUCCUGCAUCAAAGUGGUAUUAGAGCGGGAGGUCUCGUGUUUGAGACUCCUCACCAGGGGUGAUUAAUGCAGGAGCAUUUUCACACCGUGCUCGAAUGGGCUAGCCCGAGGGAUGUGGGGACACACUUGGGGUGGACGGCCCAUGUGAGGCUGGUGGCUUGUGUGAAGUGGGCCCAUGUGAAGUGAGGCCCAUGAGGAGUGUUCGGCCGACGUCCUAACCCAUGGGAUGUGGGGACUGGGCUAUGAGAUAAAGGGAUUGAUUCCCCACUCUCUAUCAGUUCGAGCUUUUAAAGCAAGUGGCUCAUUGUCCUGCAUCAGAUAUUGUUUUGUAAUAUGUGGUGGACAAGCUCAAACUGAAGACAAGAAUCCUACACCAUACCAAAUUACAUGGCUCAAGGGUGGCAAAGUCAAGGUAACUGAAUGAUGCCUUGUCUCCUUCUCAAUUGGGAAAGGGUACAAGGAUGAAGUGCUUUGCGAUGUGGUCAAUAUUGACACAUGCCAUAUUUCUUUAUUUAUCCUUGGCAAUAUGACUUGGACAUUAUGCAUAAGGGCAAGCAAAAUACGUUCAGAUUCUUUAAGGACAAUGUGAGGACAACCUUAGCCUCUAUAGCAAGGAAACUAGUCACCAGUCUUCUAGAGAAGAUUGGAUUUUCCUAACCACAAUUCAAGGAGGAAUUGAAGGAUAGUGGUAUUGUGUAUGCCCUCAUUGGGAAAAAAUGUUGUAUCUAAUGUUGUCAAGGUUUAGAACCAUUAGUGGAAUUUGAGUUGGAUGGAUUGUGUCCCAUGAGGGACAUCCCUAAUUUCUGGUUCUAGCUUUUCAAUUUAGCUGCUAUCAGAAGAGUCCGAAAGACUGAGGAACUACAAUGGAAAGUGAAUGAUUUGCCAUUACUUGCCUAGAUUACAUAUUCAAUAUAUUAAGCCAGGUCAAAUUUUUUUUUUUUUUGAAGAUUGACUUGGGUGGGGGGUAUGGGGUACCGCCAAAUAUGCAUGAGACCGGGCAAUGAAUGGAAGGCAGCUUUUAAAGCAAGAGAAGGCUUGUAUCCGUGGUUGGUAAUGCCCUUCGGGUUAUGUAAUAGUCACAGUACCUUCAUGUGAUUGAUGAAUCAGGUGCUAUGACCCUUCAUUGGGAAAUUUGUUUUCAUAUAUUUCAACGAUAUCCUAGUUAUCACUUUAUCAAGGAGGUGCAUGUGCAACAACUGUGAGAAGUGCUAACAGUAUUGUAGAAGUUGUACGUGAAUCUUAAAAAGUACCACUUUAUGACCAAUAGCCUCAUUUUCAGAGGCUAUGUGGUUAGUGGAGACAAACUUUGGGUAGAUGAGAGCAGUACUUGAGUGGCCUACACCUAAGACUGUUAUUAGUUUGCGAAGUUUCAAUUGAUUGAAUAUUUUCAGCUGAUUUAUGCGAAACCUUUGCACAAUCAUGGCCCCCAUAACCAAAUGUUUAAAGAGGGGACAACUUUUAUUUAGGAGAAGCAGAAGAUGGUUUCAAACCGUUAAGAAGAAGAUGUUCAAAGCACCUGUUUUGUUCCUGCUAGAUUUUGAAAAGAUAUUCAAAGUCGAUUGUGAUGCUUCUCAUGUGGGGGAUUGGAGUAGUUCUUAGUCAAGAAGGAAGACCUAUAGCAUUUUUUAGUGAGAAGUUGAACGAGACCUGGUAGAAAUAUUUGACAUGACUUGGUAAGUCUAUGUGGUUGUGCAAGCAUUGUGGUAUUGGCAGCAUUAUCUUAUUUGGUGGGAAUUUAUCCUAUUUUCAAUGGGAAGCGUGCAGAGUGGGCAUCAUUUCAUUAGGAGUACAUGUCACAACACAAAUCUAGCACACAACCAGGUGGUAGAUACCUUGAGCAGAAGGGUAUCUUUUU